GCGUUGGGGGGGCGUGCUUACACAUGCAGUCGAACGGUGAAGCCAAGCUUGCUUGGUGGAUCAGUGGCGAACGGGUGAGUAACACGUGAGCAACCUGCCCUGGACUCUGGGAUAAGCGCUGGAAACGGCGUCUAAUACUGGAUAUGAGACGUGAUCGCAUGGUCGUGUUUGGAAAGAUUUUUCGGUCUGGGAUGGGCUCGCGGCCUAUCAGCUUGUUGGUGAGGUAAUGGCUCACCAAGGCGUCGACGGGUAGCCGGCCUGAGAGGGUGACCGGCCACACUGGGACUGAGACACGGCCCAGACUCCUACGGGAGGCAGCAGUGGGGAAUAUUGCACAAUGGGCGAAAGCCUGAUGCAGCAACGCCGCGUGAGGGAUGACGGCCUUCGGGUUGUAAACCUCUUUUAGCAGGGAAGAAGCGAAAGUGACGGUACCUGCAGAAAAAGCGCCGGCUAACUACGUGCCAGCAGCCGCGGUAAUACGUAGGGCGCAAGCGUUAUCCGGAAUUAUUGGGCGUAAAGAGCUCGUAGGCGGUUUGUCGCGUCUGCUGUGAAAUCCCGAGGCUCAACCUCGGGCCUGCAGUGGGUACGGGCAGACUAGAGUGCGGUAGGGGAGAUUGGAAUUCCUGGUGUAGCGGUGGAAUGCGCAGAUAUCAGGAGGAACACCGAUGGCGAAGGCAGAUCUCUGGGCCGUAACUGACGCUGAGGAGCGAAAGGGUGGGGAGCAAACAGGCUUAGAUACCCUGGUAGUCCACCCCGUAAACGUUGGGAACUAGUUGUGGGGACCAUUCCACGGUUUCCGUGACGCAGCUAACGCAUUAAGUUCCCCGCCUGGGGAGUACGGCCGCAAGGCUAAAACUCAAAGGAAUUGACGGGGACCCGCACAAGCGGCGGAGCAUGCGGAUUAAUUCGAUGCAACGCGAAGAACCUUACCAAGGCUUGACAUAUACGAGAACGGGCCAGAAAUGGUCAACUCUUUGGACACUCGUAAACAGGUGGUGCA
RNAcentral lists this ribosomal RNA (1000 nucleotides) under Microbacterium sp. HBUM178300. RNAcentral describes it as "bacterial SSU rRNA". It matches the Rfam family "Bacterial small subunit ribosomal RNA", at positions 33 to 1045 of the family's 1533-position model. Lineage: Bacteria; Bacillati; Actinomycetota; Actinomycetes; Micrococcales; Microbacteriaceae. The record is from RNAcentral.